UGGGGAAUAUUGCACAAUGGGCGCAAGCCUGAUGCAGCCAUGCCGCGUGUGUGAAGAAGGCCUUCGGGUUGUAAAGCACUUUCAGCGAGGAGGAAGGUGGUGAACUUAAUACGUUCAUCAAUUGACGUUACUCGCAGAAGAAGCACCGGCUAACUCCGUGCCAGCAGCCGCGGGUAAUACGGAGGGUGCAAGCGUUAAUCGGAAUUACUGGGCGUAAAGCGCACGCAGGCGGUUUGUUAAGUCAGAUGUGAAAUCCCCGGGCUCAACCUGGGAACUGCAUUUGAAACUGGCAAGCUAGAGUCUCGUAGAGGGGGGUAGAAUUCCAGGUGUAGCGGUGAAAUGCGUAGAGAUCUGGAGGAAUACCGGUGGCGAAGGCGGCCCCCUGGACGAAGACUGACGCUCAGGUGCGAAAGCGUGGGGAGCAAACAGGAUUAGAUACCCUGGUAGUCCACGCUGUAAACGAUGUCGAUUUGGAGGUUGUGCCCUUGAGGCGUGGCUUCCGGAGCUAACGCGUUAAAUCGACCGCCUGGGGAGUACGGCC
Molecule: ribosomal RNA, 541 nt
Filed under: uncultured bacterium
Lineage: Bacteria
Description: partial 16S ribosomal RNA
Rfam family: Bacterial small subunit ribosomal RNA
Source: RNAcentral